GAUAAGAAAUCGUAUAUAAUUUCAUUUCAAACCGUAGCUAUGCUAGGCAGAUUUGCUUGCAUAACCAACUCAGAUACACCUUUUGAUUAUUAGCAAGAUUCAAGUAAAACGCAGAAGACAAGAACAUAAACAGAUUCAUAUCAAGGUCUUGACGACGAAGAAAACGAGUCUUUCCAAUAAACUGCGGCAAUGAAACGUCAAACUACAAAGAAAAUACGAAGACUCUUUUAAUGAAAACAUCGAAAACUCAAAGAAAAAACCACAAAACUUGUCUAAGAGACAGACUAGUCCCUUCUCAAUCUUCUUCAUCGAUGACCUUAGUGCCAAGUCCACUGAGUCCUUCAGCAGGGAUCUCAGCAACAGUGACAAGUGAGAAAAACUCUUCCUUGGCGUCUUCAUCGUCGUUUCUCUUACGCGCAACGAAUGAGCGUAAAAAAAGAGUUUAUUUUAUAUAUUUGUUUGCAUCAUCGCAUGUGAGUGAGUACAGAUGGCAUCAGUUGCAAGAAUCAUUUUACAAACAAACCGGAUAAUGAGAAUGCUGGAUUAUAGUUUUGAAUUGUUGAUUAGUUUUUAGUGAAUCGUGGGCCGACGUAAGCAGUAGCACAGAAUCAUCAUUAGUUGGAAACUUUUGGCUGGGCUUCAAAGAUGCUUUAGGUUUGUAUUUAAAAUGUAAAGGCGUUACUGGUCAUCACAGGUCGAUAUGUCCGAGUGGUUAAGGAGAUUGACUCGAAAUCAAUUGGGCUUUGCCCGCGCAGGUUCGAAUCCUGCUGUCGACGUUUUUGCUCUUUUUUAUAAAAACUAAAAGCGAAGUCAUAAGAAUACGUUAAUUAGUUUUAGGGCUACGUCCAUUUGUACAAUUUAGUUCACAGAUAUAAACCAUACAAGACUCGUAAGCAUUUAGCUUCUUUUUUUUAUGUUCAUAAGAAGCCGUAUAUAAUUUUCACUGCAAAUCAUUAUGGUUUGCUAUGAUGGAAAGACAGUGGCAGCUAUGGAUGUCAUCGUUCCAAAGGUAAUAAAGCUGACAUGGAACUUACUAGAGUUAAGCAUUUGUGAUGUUUAUGUUGGAUAACAUAAAACUCAUUUCACAUAUAAACUAGAUUCUUAGCAUUUAAUCUGAUAAGAAAUCGUAUAUAAUUUCAUUUCAAACCGUAGCUAUGCUAGGCAGAUUUGCUUGCAUAACCAACUCAGAUACACCUUUUGAUUAUUAGCAAGAUUCAAGUAAAACGCAGAAGACAAGAACAUAAACAGAUUCAUAUCAAGGUCUUGACGACGAAGAAAACGAGUCUUUCCAAUAAACUGCGGCAAUGAAACGUCAAACUACAAAGAAAAUACGAAGACUCUUUUAAUGAAAACAUCGAAAACUCAAAGAAAAAACCACAAAAC
Molecule: long non-coding RNA, 1383 nt
Filed under: Brassica napus (rape)
Lineage: Eukaryota; Viridiplantae; Streptophyta; Magnoliopsida; Brassicales; Brassicaceae
Description: long non-coding RNA (BNAP_LNC012159)
Rfam family: tRNA (bases 695-776)
Source: RNAcentral